RNAcentral lists this ribosomal RNA (393 nucleotides) under uncultured bacterium. Its description in RNAcentral is "bacterial SSU rRNA". It matches the Rfam family "Bacterial small subunit ribosomal RNA", at positions 28 to 424 of the family's 1533-position model. The record is from RNAcentral.
GACGAACGCUGGCGGCGUGCUUAACACAUGCAAGUCGAGCGGUAAGGCCCUUUCGGGGGUACACGAGCGGCGAACGGGUGAGUAACACGUGGGUGACCUGCCCUCAGCUCUGGGAUAAGCCUGGGAAACUGGGUCUAAUACUGGAUAUGACUCCACGGUGCAUGUCGUGGGGUGGAAAGCCUUGUGCGGCUGAGGAUGGGCCCGCGGCCUAUCAGCUCGUUGGUGGGGUGANGGCCUACCAAGGCGACGACGGGUAGCCGGCCUGAGAGGGCGACCGGCCACACUGGGACUGAGACACGGCCCAGACUCCUACGGGAGGCAGCAGUGGGGAAUCUUGCGCAAUGGGCGAAAGCCUGACGCAGCGACGCCGCGUGAGGGAUGACGGCCUCGGUU